GUGAUAUGUGGCACUUUGAAUGUGUGCUAGCAGUUGGGUUAUCCUCCUGUCUGUCGUGUGCUGGCUGUUGGCCAGUUUUCAGAUAUGGGCCUGCAAGUAGCUGUAAUCCUGCGUGGUGAGCGACCAUGUGUAUUGCAGCAUUGUACUGUUUGCUUGCAGGAUUGAUUGCACGUCCAGGGGUUUCUAAUGAUCUUAAUUGAAGCGUAACGAACCUCAAGUAACUGACUGCACUUCUGCUCUGCUCUACUCCGUUUUGUUCUGUCUGGAAUUCAUCUGGGUCCGUCUGUUAUAUUUUGUUUUGUAUUGUUUGGUGUGUGGAUUUAGGUGGGAGGGGUUGGCCAUGG
Sinocyclocheilus anshuiensis is the source of this 344-nucleotide long non-coding RNA. RefSeq lists it as uncharacterized. The transcript is spliced from 3 exons. The record is from RefSeq and is a predicted model, not a curated record. Lineage: Eukaryota; Metazoa; Chordata; Actinopteri; Cypriniformes; Cyprinidae.